RNAcentral lists this long non-coding RNA (2909 nucleotides) under Strigops habroptila (Kakapo). Its description in RNAcentral is "lncRNA (ENSSHBG00005020217.1)". Lineage: Eukaryota; Metazoa; Chordata; Aves; Psittaciformes; Psittacidae. The record is from RNAcentral.
CUUAAGCUCUCUAUUAUAAAGAGGGCUUGCUAGUAUGUAUGAUGCAUGUGUAUAAAUUGUGAUGGCAAUCACUUAGCUGCUGACCACCAGAAAUUAAAAGAUGGUGGGAGCUUUUAAAUAUAUAAAUCUGUGUUGUCCAUUCAGACUGGGCUCAAGUCUCCACUUGGGUCUGAAAAUCAACCACAAUAGCUUUUUUCUUAUAGUAUUGGUACUCUCCUGUGUUAAUGGGCUGUUCUUUCUUAUUUUGUAUGAAGUUUUUUAUGAAGCCGCAGUACUGAGUACACAAAGUGACUAUUGUCCACCAAAGAGUGCUUUAUUUUCAAGGGUUGUGUGGUUUGUUUAUUUUUAAAUACACUAACUGUGAUUAACUUGUUUUUAAUAGUAAUAGAUAUUUAGUUGUUCACAACCAAUGGCACUUUUAACUAGUUGCAAUUGCUUUAAAUCUGGUACGAUUUCAAGGGGGGGGAAAAACAAUUUACCAUUUAAAGGAGUGCCGUCAUAUUGAAAUGUCAUUACUGUUUCUUUCCCUAUCUUCAAGUCUUUUAGGUGAAACUUCAGAUUAGCAUACCUAAUAGGUAAGAUUUUUUCCCAGGUUUUAUUGGUACACUUGACAUCUGUAUGUCAAGUGCACAGUGACAUGUGGAUGUCACUGUUUUUUAGCUUUGAGACACUUAAUGAGUGCAGCACACUAAAAAGGGAAAAUAGGCUUGCGGUACAGCUGAGAUUGGUAGUGGAACUCAGGGGUGAGAAUAGUUUUUUAACAUCUAAUUAACACUUUAAAAACUACAGCUUCUCUCUGUUAAAAAGCAGUGUAAUUUUUAGAGAGAGCUGUCUGACGAUUUCAUCCACUACAAGACUGUCUUCAAACACUGGCAGCAUUUUUUCCCUAUCACUUUCCGCAUUAUGAAAUCUCAAAGCUGAAGUUUAUAGCUGCAUAUCCCUCAGACGAGGACUGUUACCACAUAGCCUUAAAUAUGAUAGAGUUAUGUGUUGCUUUAGUGACUCUUAACAGUAGAAAAAACAGAAGAAAUUGAGACAUCUGAAAUGUUAGCAGUGGAAUAACGGAAGAUUUUAAAUAUACAGAUUACCUCUGCACAGGGAAGAAUUUUCUUUUUAUGAAUGUAAGUGGGCAAGUUUGGUGACUAGUUUAAAUCUACAUCCUUUUAAAUUAAAAUUAAACUGUUAGGCUGGUGAUUUUUGAAUUCCAAUAUGAAUAACCACACACUGGCUUGAAAACAUUUUGUGGCAAAAGCAUCAUGAGUUGGAGAGGAAGCAAGAUGUAAGCUUACUUACUAUCUGUGAGUUUGGAUAGUCAAAAUCUGCAAAUACAGAUAAAACAGAAAAGGCUUAUAUGGUGCAAAAUAAAGGACCACUGAGGCUCAGAUUUUGUUUUCCUCUUACUCUUAACCCUCACGACCAUUUUCUUUCAAGUGAAAGCACAUAAAAGAGAGGGACUGAAUUCACCCUGAUACAGUGAUUAAAAUUUGUAUUUUUCUUCUUGUUUCUUUUUUUUAAGCCGUUUGCCCAAAAGCUGAAGUACAGGUAACUACAGUAGUAGAUAUGUUAUGCAAACAUGAACCUGUGUUUAUUUUUGACAGAAAUUCUUACCUUGGAAGGCAGAAGGGAUGUAACUAGUGAUGUGAGAGGAUGAGAGUCAAUACAAGAAGUAAUAUUUAUUGUGUUUGGCCUUAUGCUUCUCUCAGCUGAGCUUCCUGUUUUACCAUCUUUGUUCUAACCUAAAAAUAACCAGUCUAUUUCACACUCCUUAUGAAUUCCAAAUUGGAAUUUGCUUUUUUUAAAGUAACCAGCAUAGCCAUUAGCACUUUCAGGCUUAUCAGAAGUAAGCUUGCAUAAAACAAGUGCACAAACAUACACAACAGGAACUCUAGCUAAACCAAAACUGCAUGUUUGGCAUGAGUAUGUUUCAAGAUACCCCUUCCACCUCCCAGUAUCUUUGUGAGAAACAUAUAAAUAUCAAAGGCAUUUUACAUUUGAACUCUCCAAACAGCCUUAAAUGGAAAAUUAACUCAUUACCUCAUUGUGUCCCAUCUAAUUGUAUUGUUUAGUUUGUUCUUCUGAAUUUUUAGUAUUUUGUCUAGCAUUUUUAUUGUACCAUACCAAAGCUGUCUUAAGUGCAAGAACGAAGAGUGGGCAUGGGUGAGGGUUGGUGGGCAGGGUUUCUCAAUCUUUUUUGACUUAUAUGGGGUAGUAUGUGCCAAAAUGGAAUGUGUGGUGGUAGCUGCAUCACCAUUGCACCAUGGAGCAGCUGAAGGAAGUUAUUUCUGCAGUCAUCAAUUAGAAGUUUUCCCUUAGAAAUUCUUUCCCCCCUUUCAGAUAUAUGACAGAUGGAAUCUUCUUUGAUCUCUUACUCAAAAGUAUGCAACAUAUUCAAAAGCUGUAAUAUCUUGUGUCAAAUUGCUAGCUCCCAUUACAGCAUCAGCAUGUUAACUUGGAUGUUAACCCAUACGUUGUCUUUUUGCCCCAGUAUGACAAUAGAGGAAGUGCUGCUGAUUUAAAGCAAAAUAAAAUUUGUAGAGACUCGUGCAUUAAAAUGAAAAAAAAAGAAAAAUGUGAUGUUCACCAGUUUGUUGCACUGCAGUUUUUAUAGUAAUGGUUUGCAGACUGUUUGUCUUGCGUAAACUCAUGUACAGACUAUCAAGAUCUAAAAUUCCUGAUCUGUUCAUCCUGAUUAUUUUAAAAUUGUAUAUUUCUAAUCAUAUUUUUUUAACUUAGAUUGACAGUUUAUUUUGCUGACAGUAUUUUUAAGAUAAAGCUUCAUAUUAUCUUGUAAUAUUAAGUAGUUCAAUAUGCAUUUGUGUCUCAUGGGAAAAUAUUGCAUAUUGAUUUUAUACGAAAUACUGAAUAGUGAGAAUUGUAAACAUGAAUUGUGUAAAAUUAAACAUAAUAAG